RNAcentral lists this ribosomal RNA (495 nucleotides) under uncultured bacterium. RNAcentral describes it as "partial 16S ribosomal RNA". It matches the Rfam family "Bacterial small subunit ribosomal RNA", at positions 30 to 507 of the family's 1533-position model. The record is from RNAcentral.
UGAACGCUGGCGGCGUGCCUAAUACAUGCAAGUCGAGCGAACAGACGAGGAGCUUGCUCCUCUGACGUUAGCGGCAGACGGGUGAGUAACACGUGGAUAACCUACCUAUAAGACUGGGAUAACUUCGGGAAACCGGAGCUAAUACCGGAUAAUAUAUUGAACCGCAUGGUUCAAUAGUGAAAGACGGUUUUGCUGUCACUUAUAGAUGGAUCCGCGCCGCAUUAGCUAGUUGGUAAGGUAACGGCUUACCAAGGCGACGAUGCGUAGCCGACCUGAGAGGGUGAUCGGCCACACUGGAACUGAGACACGGUCCAGACUCCUACGGGAGGCAGCAGUAGGGAAUCUUCCGCAAUGGGCGAAAGCCUGACGGAGCAACGCCGCGUGAGUGAUGAAGGUCUUCGGAUCGUAAAACUCUGUUAUUAGGGAAGAACAAAUGUGUAAGUAACUAUGCACGUCUUGACGGUACCUAAUCAGAAAGCCACGGCUAACUACGUG